UACAAAGGAGAAGCAAGAGAAGCAUGUCAGGUAUUUUUCUGUUUCAUAUACAUAUUAGAACACAGCAUUAAUGUCUCAAAAAACUAAAAAAAGAUUGGGAUAGCACAAGACUCAAAAAAUGACUGAAGAGCAACAACACAAGAAUUUUAAAUAGCAAAAUGGUAGUCUGCUCUAGUUGUAAAUGUAAUAAAGGAAUGCCCUAACAAGCACCCACGCUCUCAACUUCCUUCUGGAAAGACUCAUUUACAUUACAAUAGUUGCCAAGGUUACGGUAACUCCAGCACAGCUCCUUUCUCCAGUCGCUAAUCUGGAGCCUGGGAGGUACAAGUACAACCAGAAAUCUUAAUUGAGGCUAACUCAAAUCUCAGUCUACUCAAAAGUUCGUGACCUAGAAAAGGAUUUUGUUUAGCAACAAAAAUUGCUGAAAGGUGGAGAACCUGCUUUAGGGAUACACAGCUAAAACACCACCUCAAAUUACAGAAAUGGUUUGGCAAAGAGAUGUUAUAGCUUGGGUUUCGCUAUGCAGCUCAGGCUGGCCUUGAGCUC
This is a long non-coding RNA of Chinchilla lanigera (long-tailed chinchilla), 546 nucleotides long. RefSeq lists it as uncharacterized. NCBI's taxonomy places the organism in Eukaryota, Metazoa, Chordata, Mammalia, Rodentia, Chinchillidae. The record is from RefSeq and is a predicted model, not a curated record. The transcript is spliced from 3 exons.